AAAUUUUUGUAAAGUUCCGAUUAAUUAAGAACCCUUAAAAAUACCUUCUACAAUAACAAACCAUCUGGAACUGAAACAAAUAGGACUUUUCAGUUUUCACCUUCUCUUUUCGCAUUUCGUUGGAUCAGGCACCAAGGAUUUAACAUGUACAUGGGAAUGCAGGUGAGCACUAAACCCUUUUACCAUUCAUCUUUAUCUACCGAAUAAUGCAAUGAAGGCCCACCAUGUUAUACUUGUAACCUUCUCUAAAACGUUCAUUAUGUUUAAUAAUUAUCUUCAAGUACGCCAUGUGAUUGGAAAAAUUUUAAAAAUACAAUAGAUGUAUGUGUGCUGCAAUACCAAGUGUUGACCAGUAAGAUGAAGGUCAUGUGACACACAUAUGACUCAACCGGAUAAAGAUUAACAACCGACCCAUUUCUUUUUUCAGACAUCUAUAAUAUAAAGUAAUGAUAAAAAUUUGAUGUGAAUAUCGACAAACCAAGCGUUGAAGUUAUUUACGUCAGCCUCUGUCGUCUUGUGCCACAAAUUUUAUACCAACGAAGGUGGCAUCUUUGUGUAGGACAACCUAACAUGACAUCUCAAAUAAUGUUAUUUUCAAUCCAACUCCAACCAAGAAAGGUGGCGCUCUACCGUAGGUGUAGACUCAUCCAAAAAAAAAUUUAUCAUCAAGGACAUAUGGAAUUUUUGCGUAUUUUUCAACUUAAUAAUGUAAAUAAAUACUAUUUCAAUAAACUAUAUGGACGGUACACAACCAGUGACCCCAAGUACAAUAUGUACAAUUUUUAUUAUAUUCAACUAUCAACAGCCCUUCAACUACAACAAAGGAGUCAACUCUUCCCUUGGUAUAUAUUUGAGUCUUACAAGUUUUUAAGUCGGUGUCAAGCAACACCCACUCCCAUCUGGUGUUGUAUAAUUCCAAUGCAUACUUUACAAGUAAAGACCUAGCGACGUUUCAAAUCGAAAUAUAACUUUUAUAUAUUUUUUUUAGAAAAAAAUAGCAGUAGUUAAGACUCCUUAAUCAAAAGAAAGAAUCAGCAGUAAAAUAUUUAUAGGAAAUCAAAUGCCUUAGAUCAAUGAAAUGUGAUUUUUUUUCCCCACUGGAUUCCCAUGAGUUCAAACUUAAAACUUGAUAUUUCUAGACACUCCUAAUAUUUAGAGGACAGAACUCUUUUUUUUUUAUUUAAUUAACUUUUAACGACAGAUAAACAGAUGUUAAUUUUGUCUUACCAAAGAUGAAACAUAACUUGACUCUAAGCUAAAAGAAAAUAUGGUGGCAUAGGCCAGCCAGCCUCCUUUGUGGAAAUUUUUUUAAAUAAUAAUAAUAACAAAGAAGGAAGCAAAAUUACCAAAAAAGAAACAAUAUCUCCUAAAAAGAAUAGAAAAUGAAUGCAUUCCUAUAUUAGGCAUAUGAUCUACCUUCUGAAUUUGCACCCGACAAAUAUCAGAAAAAGAAUUCAAACUGUUUUACCAAGGAAAACUUUUCAAGGUCAUCUUUUAAACACAAAAGUCCAAGCCAUUGUCUAGUUUACCAGUGGUAUACUAUUAGCCUAUUAUAACCCACAAGUGGAACCAUAUUCCAUAAUUAAUCAAGGUUUCUGAUAAGCAAGAACAUUUUGGGCAAAAUAAAAUCCACACCGUCUCUGGGCCCUUAAAUAUUUAAUGUGAAAUUUUGAACCAACUCUGGUUUUUCCUUUUUUUAUCCUUAUCCGUUUAUAGCAUAAUCAUAUAUAACUUGCUUACAUUUCAAUCUCGCUAUCAUCAAGAAGCAAUGCUGCCAACAACCACUCACCUAAAGGUCAAAAUCAAACCCCAGAAAACAAUUUUUGAAAAUAAUAACAAUGAUAAAAAAUUCUAAUUAUCUAUCAAGAAAGGAAAAUCAUAAUCAAAAGAAGUUAAAUUACGAAAGUACCCCUCGGUGGAGAAUUGUCCCAUACGGAAAAUUUUCAGCGUGUUCUUAACUCCUUAUCCUUACGCUGCUAAGCACCACCCAGUACGGCAAAAAUAUCCCUUUGUACGAAAAUACUUUCAAAGCAAACGAUGUUUACAAUGUCGCAUUUUUUUAAAUAAUAGUUUGAUAAAAAAUUAAAAUCCAAGUUUAGAAUCAAUCAAAGACUGAUUAAAAAAAUGCAUAAUUUCCUAUACCGCUCGUUAUAAUCAGUUAAUCACCAACAAAAUUAAGAAAAUCCACAAAAAAUUCUUUCCACAUACAAGAAAAUCUUUUAUCAUGCUCAAUUUUAAAAAAUAAUUAUAGAAAUUAUAGUACUUUUUUUUUUCAAUUACCAAGGAAAAAGCCUA
Molecule: unclassified non-coding RNA, 2295 nt
Filed under: Hevea brasiliensis (rubber tree)
Lineage: Eukaryota; Viridiplantae; Streptophyta; Magnoliopsida; Malpighiales; Euphorbiaceae
Source: RNAcentral